Molecule: non-coding RNA, 153 nt
Filed under: Acidaminococcus hominis
Lineage: Bacteria; Bacillati; Bacillota; Negativicutes; Acidaminococcales; Acidaminococcaceae
Description: Lysine riboswitch
Rfam family: Lysine riboswitch aptamer
About the family: Riboswitches are metabolite binding domains within certain messenger RNAs that serve as precision sensors for their corresponding targets. Allosteric rearrangement of mRNA structure is mediated by ligand binding, and this results in modulation of gene expression. This family includes riboswitches that sense lysine in a number of genes involved in lysine metabolism, including lysC.
Source: RNAcentral
GUGAUAGAGGCGCGGAAACGAUCAGUAGUUUUCUGAGGGACACCAAAGAGGAAAAUGAAAGGCCAACCGCCGAAGCAGGACCGUGGGUACAUGGCCGUGCUGGGCUGCAGAUCAAGAAUCUGCAGACUGUCGCCUUAGGGUGGAGAGCUAUCA